AUACGUCCAUGGGAUUUGGAGACCCCUGAAAAGCAACCUAUCCUCCAAAGCGACAGAUGACAGCGCGCAGCCCGUCCCCCGGGGAGGACCAAGGCAGGUUAGAGCCGCUUUUAGGUCAAAGCAGCAAGAGCACACCAAACCCCCCCUCCGCCCCAAAUUACAGACACGAAGCAUGACUGCAAUUCUAGCAGAGAUCGUGUUUCCAAAUUGGCAGAGCAGGAAGGAAUCUCGCAUUCCCACAGCAUCUCUCAGCCAGCCCCGGGAUCCCAGAGGACUUUGGCGAACUGCAUACAGUCAUCCCCGGGGCAGGCACUUGUGGGACGGGACAAACCACACGUUUAACGGUUCACGAAACGCCGGCCGAGAGAAGGGACCACGGCAGGACUCUGAGAGGCAGCACAAAGCAAUCAAAUUGCAUUUCACGGCAGCAGCAGGGACUGCCUUCCCUCUACAUUUCAACGCGCUCUUCCAGAGCCAAGCAGAGCACUUUGUUUCUGCAGCCUACCUUACCCCAGGCAUUUUCUCCGCUUUCAUUGUGCAAGCUCAGCACAGAGCCGUGUCACUCCCUACCCUCACGGUUCCCCUCCGAGACAGCCCCGAGCCCAGCAGCAGCCCCUGGACGGCCGCUCGCCUUCCCAAGUUGCAGCCGGAGCCCGCCCGGAGCCCGGGUCCCCUGUGCUCCCGCCGCUCCCACGCCCCGGCCGGAGCCCGGGGCACGGCGAGGAGCGGCCACCGGGUUAUUGCGGCUGGACAUGAAACCCUCAUUUAUUUAACACACA
Zonotrichia leucophrys gambelii is the source of this 779-nucleotide long non-coding RNA. RefSeq lists it as uncharacterized. NCBI's taxonomy places the organism in Eukaryota, Metazoa, Chordata, Aves, Passeriformes, Passerellidae. The transcript is spliced from 3 exons. The record is from RefSeq and is a predicted model, not a curated record.